Molecule: non-coding RNA, 136 nt
Filed under: Solanum tuberosum (potato)
Lineage: Eukaryota; Viridiplantae; Streptophyta; Magnoliopsida; Solanales; Solanaceae
Description: Bacterial large subunit ribosomal RNA
Rfam family: Bacterial large subunit ribosomal RNA
Source: Rfam by way of RNAcentral
AGAGCAUUGAGAAAACCUUUCCCUAGUCCGAGAGGACCAGGAAGGACGCACCUUUGGUGACGCUGGGUAGGCAAGUGUGGAGCGGAUAACUGCUGAAAGCAUCUAAGUAGUAAGCCAAUCCCAAGAUGAGUUCUCU